Long non-coding RNA from Humulus lupulus (European hop), 431 nucleotides. RefSeq lists it as uncharacterized. NCBI's taxonomy places the organism in Eukaryota, Viridiplantae, Streptophyta, Magnoliopsida, Rosales, Cannabaceae. The record is from RefSeq and is a predicted model, not a curated record. The transcript has 3 exons.
ACGCACGGCUCACCUCACGGCAGAUUCGUCUCCUUCACGCACGGCUCACGGCGACGCAUAGUGCGCCGGCACUCACGGAGGUCUUCUCACGGAGACCCAGAUUCUUACUCUUUUGCAAUUUGGAGGAUAUACACUUUUGAGGAACUCAAGUGACCUAUUCCUGAGUUUCAGGUAGUAUUAUUACAAGAAAAAUGGUGUCUGGAUGUUCAAGCACUUCAUUAGUGGCAUCUCCUAAAAAACAAUCAAUAAAGGAAAUAACAGAAAAGUCUCCAAUGACAUCGGCCUCUCCUCCAACUCAAGCAAUAGAAGAAGCAAUUAGAAAGUCUCCACAAAAAUCAUCUUCUCUUUCAAUACAUGCAAGAGAAGAGACAAAUGAAAAAUAUUCAUUGAAACCAUCACCACUGUUGUCUAAGGUAUAUAAAUAAAUAAUA